AAGGGCACCACAAGAACGCGUGGAGCAUGUGGCUUAAUUUGACUCAACGCGGGAAAUCUUACCGGGUCCGGACACACUGAGGAUUGACAGACAAUCACACUAAUCUUAUAUGUAUAUUUAUUUAUACGCGUAAGUUAGUGUCAAAUAAAGAUGCUAGUUCUUUCAUGAUUAUGUGAUAGGUGGUGCAUGGCCGUUCUUAGUUCGUGGAGUGAUCUGUCUGCUUAAUUGCGUUUCACAAUUAAAAUACGAAUAUACGCAUAUUAUGAUUGCUUGACCCCAUAAAUUUAUUUUUAUGCGCUGCGUCUCGUAUCUUAUAUGCAUUCGUUAUUUCGAAAGCAACGAACGUGACCGUAUCCUUUUGUUAAAUGUAUAUAUACAUUUUAAAAACUAAAGGGACCGCUGUUUCUUUCUUAAACCAGAGGAAGGUUACGGCAAUAACAGGUCUGUGAUGCCCUUAAAUGUUCCGGGCUGCACACGUGCUACAAUGAUUAUUUCAGUAAGUAUCUCAAACUUUAAAUAGAAUGUACUUUACGUACACCUAAAUCCUACCUCGAAAGUAAGGUGGGUAAUCAAUUAGAAGUAAUGAUUUCCUAAAUAUUUUGUACAAAAAUAUACAGCGUAUUCAUAUCCCAUAAAGGCUCUCGUUAGUCUGCAUGCGUGUGUAUGAUACGUAAAUAUUACUUUUAUGUAUUAUUUUUUCUGUAUGUACAAUUGUUAAUUCAUGGUGGGGACAGACCAUUGUUAAUUAUUGGUCUCGGUCUUAACUAGGAAUGCCUUGUACGGGUCUUUGGUUCAUCAAACCACCCGGAAUACGUCCCUGCCCUUUGUACACACCGCCCGUCGCUCUUACCGAUGAACUUUACUAUGAAUUUGAGGGAAAGACCUUUGAGUCGCAAACUUAAAUGAAUAGUGUGGUUUAAAGGAAAGAGAAGUCGAACAAGGCA
This 944-nucleotide ribosomal RNA is filed under the name Buccella alvarezii. RNAcentral describes it as "SSU rRNA". It matches the Rfam family "Eukaryotic small subunit ribosomal RNA", at positions 1160 to 1801 of the family's 1831-position model. The record is from RNAcentral. Lineage: Eukaryota; Foraminifera; Rotaliida; Trichohyalidae.